CCAAGGAGUCUAACAUGUGCGCGAGUCACGGGGUUCCCGUUUGCCACGAAACCCGCUCGGGCGAAAUGAAAGUGAAGGCUCGACCGUUCGCGGUCGCUGCCGAGGUAGGACCCCGUCCCUCCUCUCCCUCGCGGAGGGAGGCCGGGUGCACUGCCGGCCCGUCUCGUCCGCGCCCUCUUGAUUUCGGUCUCGGGGUGUCGUCGGUGAGGCGGAGCAAGAGCGCACACGUUGGGACCCGAAAGAUGGUGAACUAUGCUUGAGUAGGACGAAGCCAGAGGAAACUCUGGUGGAGGUCCGUAGCGAUUCUGACGUGCAAAUCGAUCGUCAAACUUGGGUAUAGGGGCGAAAGACUAAUCGAACCAUCUA
RNAcentral lists this ribosomal RNA (366 nucleotides) under Pandora pinna. Its description in RNAcentral is "eukaryotic LSU rRNA". It matches the Rfam family "Eukaryotic large subunit ribosomal RNA", at positions 666 to 946 of the family's 3401-position model. Lineage: Eukaryota; Metazoa; Mollusca; Bivalvia; Pandoridae. The record is from RNAcentral.